CUAUGAUGAUCCCCUUAGAUGACGAGUCUUAUCGGAGUUAUCCAUGCAGACACAAUCUUUUUAAUAACCAUUCAUGCUUCUCUGACA
RNAcentral lists this small nucleolar RNA (87 nucleotides) under Penicillium decumbens. The record is from RNAcentral. Lineage: Eukaryota; Fungi; Ascomycota; Eurotiomycetes; Eurotiales; Aspergillaceae.